RNAcentral lists this transfer RNA (93 nucleotides) under bacterium. RNAcentral's name for it is "tRNA-Ser". It matches the Rfam family "tRNA". From Rfam's summary of the family: Transfer RNA (tRNA) molecules are approximately 80 nucleotides in length. Their secondary structure includes four short double-helical elements and three loops (D, anti-codon, and T loops). The record is from RNAcentral.
GGAGAGGUGGCCGAGUGGACGAAGGCGCUCGACUCGAAAUCGAGUGAGGGUCUAAGAAGCCCUCCGUGGGUUCAAAUCCCACCCUCUCCGCCA